AACGGACGCUGGCGGCAUGCCUAACACAUGCAAGUCGAACGAUGCUUUCGGGCAUAGUGGCGCACGGGUGCGUAACGCGUGGGAAUCUGCCCUUGGGUUCGGAAUAACAGUGAGAAAUUGCUGCUAAUACCGGAUGAUGUCUUCGGACCAAAGAUUUAUCGCCCAGGGAUGAGCCCGCGUAGGAUUAGCUAGUUGGUGGGGUAAUGGCCUACCAAGGCGACGAUCCUUAGCUGGUCUGAGAGGAUGAUCAGCCACACUGGGACUGAGACACGGCCCAGACUCCUACGGGAGGCAGCAGUAGGGAAUAUUGGACAAUGGGCGCAAGCCUGAUCCAGCAAUGCCGCGUGAGUGAUGAAGGCCUUAGGGUUGUAAAGCUCUUUUACCCGGGAUGAUAAUGACAGUACCGGGAGAAUAAGCGCCGGCUAACUCCGUG
Molecule: ribosomal RNA, 433 nt
Filed under: uncultured bacterium
Lineage: Bacteria
Description: partial 16S ribosomal RNA
Rfam family: Bacterial small subunit ribosomal RNA
Source: RNAcentral